This 707-nucleotide long non-coding RNA is filed under the name Manihot esculenta (cassava). RNAcentral describes it as "long non-coding RNA (MESC_LNC003994)". The record is from RNAcentral. Lineage: Eukaryota; Viridiplantae; Streptophyta; Magnoliopsida; Malpighiales; Euphorbiaceae.
AAAUUAUUAAUAGAUUUUGACAUUUGAGAAAAAAAAAUAUUGAAUUUCAAGAACUCCCUUCACUAUCUCCAAUCUACUGACACCAAAAGCAAUUGAAAAUUUAGCAAGUAGUCCAUUUUCACCACCAACAGUGGCAAAUGCUAAAUGCCCAAACGAUUAAAUGAGAUUAGAUAUUAUUUCAAUUUAUCAACCCAAAUUGACCCAUUCCAUUCACAUCAGAAGCUUUUUAACUAACCCAUAUUGCAUAAUCGCCUAAGUAUUGGUACUUUGAAACUGGGUGCAUACGAAAUCAGCUAGUAGAGCUUGGGUAGGAAAGAAAUUGAGGUGGAUAAGUUUGAAGGAAGAGAAACACGACCAUCCAAAAGGGAAUGGAAUUACAAAACUGUGAAGGAAGAAGCAGAUCAUCGAGAAAGGAGGCAAGCACAUUUUUAAGUGGGUCUAUCGUCCAUGUCCAUCACCAUCGCCAACCUCUGCUUCUCCUUGUCGACUAAGAAUUCCAUCUGCAAAAUCGAUCCCAUCUCUCUUAUCAGCUUUUAGAUCACAUCGAUCUCAUCUCCUUAUAGGUUUAUUGUGAGGGAGAGGCUCAAAUGGAUUUAAUAAUUAUGGUCAAUGGAUUAUAAGGAGGUAGGGGGAAGGGUAUAUAGAUUGAGUGGAUAUAACUUCCAAGAGAAAGGAAUAGAUAUUUUGUUAAAAGAAAUCUCUCAAUU